UACAGAGGGGGCAAGCGUUAUUCGGAAUUAUUGGGCGUAAAGGGCGCGUAGGCGGCUUUUCAAGUGACGGGUGAAAUCCCUCGGCUUAACCGAGGAACUGCCUGUCAGACUGGAAGGCUUGAGACCGGGAGAGGUGAGUGGAAUUCCCAGUGUAGCGGUGAAAUGCGUAGAUAUUGGGAGGAACACCAGUGGCGAAGGCGGCUCACUGGCCCGGUACUGACGCUGAGGCACGAAAGCGUGGGGAGCAAACAGG
RNAcentral lists this ribosomal RNA (253 nucleotides) under uncultured bacterium. Its description in RNAcentral is "partial 16S ribosomal RNA". It matches the Rfam family "Bacterial small subunit ribosomal RNA", at positions 524 to 776 of the family's 1533-position model. The record is from RNAcentral.